Molecule: ribosomal RNA, 503 nt
Filed under: uncultured bacterium
Lineage: Bacteria
Description: partial 16S ribosomal RNA
Rfam family: Bacterial small subunit ribosomal RNA
Source: RNAcentral
AUUGAACGCUGGCGGCAGGCUUAACACAUGCAAGUCGAGCGGGGUGAUGGUGCUUGCACUAUCACUUAGCGGCGGACGGGUGAGUAAUGCUUAGGAAUCUGCCUAUUAGUGGGGGACAACAUCUCGAAAGGGAUGCUAAUACCGCAUACGUCCUACGGGAGAAAGCAGGGGAUCACUUGUGACCUUGCGCUAAUAGAUGAGCCUAAGUCGGAUUAGCUAGUUGGUGGGGUAAAGGCCUACCAAGGCGACAAUCUGUAGCGGGUCUGAGAGGAUGAACCGCCACACUGGGACUGAGACACGGCCCAGACUCCUACGGGAGGCAGCAGUGGGGAAUAUUGGACAAUGGGGGGAACCCUGAUCCAGCCAUGCCGCGUGUGUGAAGAAGGCCUUAUGGUUGUAAAGCACUUUAAGCGAGGAGGAGGCUCUUUUGGUUAAUACCCAAGAUGAGUGGACGUUACUCGCAGAAUAAGCACCGGCUAACUCUGUGCCAGCAGCCGCCGUAA